GGCGAACGGGUGAGUAACACGUGGGUGAUCUGCCCUGCACUUCGGGAUAAGCCUGGGAAACUGGGUCUAAUACCGGAUAGGAGCCAUUUUUAGUGUGAUGGUUGGAAAGUUUUUUCGGUGUAGGAUGAGCUCGCGGCCUAUCAGCUUGUUGGUGGGGUGAUGGCCUACCAAGGCGGCGACGGGUAGCCGGCCUGAGAGGGUGGACGGCCACAUUGGGACUGAGAUACGGCCCAG
This 234-nucleotide ribosomal RNA is filed under the name uncultured Actinomycetales bacterium. RNAcentral describes it as "partial 16S ribosomal RNA". It matches the Rfam family "Bacterial small subunit ribosomal RNA", at positions 97 to 334 of the family's 1533-position model. Lineage: Bacteria; Bacillati; Actinomycetota; Actinomycetes; Actinomycetales. The record is from RNAcentral.